This 700-nucleotide ribosomal RNA is filed under the name Streptomyces sp. YIM 75727 Cn. Its description in RNAcentral is "bacterial SSU rRNA". It matches the Rfam family "Bacterial small subunit ribosomal RNA", at positions 136 to 851 of the family's 1533-position model. Lineage: Bacteria; Bacillati; Actinomycetota; Actinomycetes; Kitasatosporales; Streptomycetaceae. The record is from RNAcentral.
CUCUGGGACAAGCCCUGGAAACGGGGUCUAAUACCGGAUAUCACUCUCGCAGGCAUCUGUGAGGGUCGAAAGCUCCGGCGGUGCAGGAUGAGCCCGCGGCCUAUCAGCUUGUUGGUGAGGUAACGGCUCACCAAGGCGACGACGGGUAGCCGGCCUGAGAGGGCGACCGGCCACACUGGGACUGAGACACGGCCCAGACUCCUACGGGAGGCAGCAGUGGGGAAUAUUGCACAAUGGGCGAAAGCCUGAUGCAGCGACGCCGCGUGAGGGAUGACGGCCUUCGGGUUGUAAACCUCUUUCAGCAGGGAAGAAGCGAAAGUGACGGUACCUGCAGAAGAAGCGCCGGCUAACUACGUGCCAGCAGCCGCGGUAAUACGUAGGGCGCAAGCGUUGUCCGGAAUUAUUGGGCGUAAAGAGCUCGUAGGCGGCUUGUCACGUCGGGUGUGAAAGCCCGGGGCUUAACCCCGGGUCUGCAUUCGAUACGGGCAGGCUAGAGUGUGGUAGGGGAGAUCGGAAUUCCUGGUGUAGCGGUGAAAUGCGCAGAUAUCAGGAGGAACACCGGUGGCGAAGGCGGAUCUUCUGGGCCAUUACUGACGCUGAGAGCGAAAGCGUGGGGAGGCGACAGAUUAGAUACCCUGGUAGUCCCCGCCGUAAACGGUGGGACUAGGUGUUGGCGACUUCCCCGUCGUCGGGGCCGCAG